UACGUAGGGACCAAGCGUUGUCCGGAAUCAUGGGGCGUAAAGAGCGUGUAGGCGGCUUGUUAAGUCUUGCGUGAAAUCUCGGGGCUCAACCCCGAGCGGUCGUGAGAAACUGGCAGGCUAGAGUGCGGGAGAGGAGAGUGGAAUUCCUGGUGUAGCGGUGAAAUGCGCAGAUAUCAGGAGGAACACCGGUGGCGAAGGCGGGCCUCUGGGCCGAUACUGACGCUGAGGAGCGAAAGCGUGGGGAGCGAACAGG
This 253-nucleotide ribosomal RNA is filed under the name uncultured bacterium. Its description in RNAcentral is "partial 16S ribosomal RNA". It matches the Rfam family "Bacterial small subunit ribosomal RNA", at positions 524 to 776 of the family's 1533-position model. The record is from RNAcentral.